UCCUAAGAGAAUCCAACGGCGGCAGCAGCAGCUUCCCCACAAAAUCACCAUUUGGACGUUGAACUCCAAGUUCGAGUGGGAGGUGCAUUGUAAGAUCAACCUGGAUUGUCUCUCGGCACAACCUCUUUACCGAGGUCUACCUCGGCGUCUUCCUGAGUUCCCAGUCAUCAGCAUGGAUGACCCGGGUGUUCUGUGCUGCCUGCUGAGGGUGAAGGAAUUUGGUGGCAAGGAGCGGAUGAUCAUGGUUGACAUGAACCAUGCGGAUCUGCAGUCAUGUACUGAUGUGAAUGUAGAAGACAAGUUCUCUAAUACCACCCAACUUCCAACUGUCUUCUCCAAAUACCUUCAAAAGGCCAACAGGGAUGGCAUGGGACAACAUUGAGCUUACUUCAUUGAAAUGCAAGUCUGCAAUAUGAAGACCUGUAAUCUGGUGACUGAAGGUGAAAACUUUGCGGAUGCUCAAAUCAAAGAUGUUGUUUGUCAAUGACGCGGUGCAGGCAGAACAGUUUGAUGAUGUACUGAUGAAUAUCUAUUGGAGUAACGCUACAUGUUCUGGAUCAUGUAAUCAUAUGUUUAAGCGUUAAAAGUAUGAGAUUGAAUAUCUUUUCUUUCAUGAAAAUUGAAUUGAGGGUAA
Molecule: long non-coding RNA, 634 nt
Organism: Triticum aestivum (bread wheat)
Lineage: Eukaryota; Viridiplantae; Streptophyta; Magnoliopsida; Poales; Poaceae
Exons: 2
Source: RefSeq, a predicted model, not a curated record